GGGCCCAUAGCUCAGUUGGUUAGAGCAGAGGACUCAUAAUCCUUUGGUCCUAGGUUCGAGUCCUAGUGGGCCCA
This 74-nucleotide transfer RNA is filed under the name Gammaproteobacteria bacterium SCGC AG-212-F23. It matches the Rfam family "tRNA". Rfam says of the family: Transfer RNA (tRNA) molecules are approximately 80 nucleotides in length. Their secondary structure includes four short double-helical elements and three loops (D, anti-codon, and T loops). Further hydrogen bonds mediate the characteristic L-shaped molecular structure. tRNAs have two regions of fundamental functional importance: the anti-codon, which is responsible for specific mRNA codon recognition, and the 3' end, to which the tRNAs corresponding amino acid is attached (by aminoacyl-tRNA synthetases). tRNAs cope with the degeneracy of the genetic code in two manners: having more than one tRNA (with a specific anti-codon) for a particular amino acid; and 'wobble' base-pairing, i.e. permitting non-standard base-pairing at the 3rd anti-codon position. Lineage: Bacteria; Pseudomonadati; Pseudomonadota; Gammaproteobacteria. RNAcentral also lists the same sequence under 2 other names. The record is from Rfam by way of RNAcentral.